AAAAAAAUAAAAAAAAAAAUGAACUGUUAACUUUAAAUCUUUUCAGAGCUUUACGAAUAGUUUUUAUAUGAUAUGUGUAUAUACAAAUGUUCUGUAUAUAAAACAUUAAUAGUUCAAUUUUUUAUUCUUUAGAAACAGAUUUUAUGUUCCAAGAAUAUAAUGGAACAAUCUAUGUUUUAUUUACCUGAGGCUAUGCGAAAAACAGUUGUUCCAAUAUUUAAUAGCAAUGAAAUGGCAAAAUGCUUUGUACAUGUUUGUCACAUAGAAUCACCUAGUAAUUUUUUCAUAAGAUUAGAAGAAAAUACAAGAUUUGUUAAUGAACUCAACAAUAUUCCACGAAAUAAACUUAAAGUCCCAGAUUCACUAGAUGCGGGGACUGUAGUUUUGUUUGAGUCUGUAAAAUUUGAUAGAAAACUAACAAGAGGAAAAAUUGUAGCUCCUGUUCAAGUAUCGGGAGGAACAAAAUAUAUCAUUACCGCAAUAGAUAUUGGAACCACAGACAGUGCAAUUAGUUCUGAAAAAAUAUGGGCGUGUGAUAUAGAACUCCCUCCAUUUGCAUUUCCAUGUAGAUUAGAUGCAUGUAAAGCACCAAAUGGGGAUAUUUGGAAUGAAUCCAGUAUUAAUGGAUUUAAGUCCCUUGUGUCUGGUACACCACAAAUGACAUAUGUUACCACUGUAGAAGACCAAUUGGUGGUUAAUUUUCUUGCAGGUCACAAUAUGGUGAGCGAGUUGAUGAUAAUGUGUGGUUGGGCCCAAAUGAUACCUUCUUUUGGUACAAAGAACGAAUGUAAUUUGAGAUGAGGUUUAUGUUUUUUUAUUAAUUUGUCAAAAUAUUUCUGAGAGUGACAGACAAUUUUUUUGCUUUCACAUUUAAAAAAGGACUGAUUAAGUUAUUAUAAGAAUUUUUGUGUAUAAUACCAUUAGUAUAAGUAUUAAAUCUUAAUAGUAGUAUAGAACUAAUAUACUACUAACUAUAUAAUAUAAUUAAUAUUUGUAAAAAUUCAACAAUUUGUGACUUAUUUGAAAAGUAGUUGAUUUUGGUUACCCUGUCAUAUUUUUUAAUAUUGAACUACUGAUGAUGAGUGGAUGGGAAACUUUCAAUUAUCACAAGGAUACCUGCAGCACUUAAGCAAAAUAGCAUACAAAGCUUCACAUAAAAUGGUGGUGCUAUGAGUAUAAAUAGAAAUUGGUGCCUUCACAGCCUUACUAAUUGAUUUAAAAAGACUAGUGGUCAUUUAUUUAUAAAAAUAUUUAGAAAAUAAAUAUAGCCUAUAUUAUUCAUUUAUGAUGUAGCACUUAAAUUAAUAAAGAAUUCUAGAAAUCUCUCCAGUUAUUUUAAAGUUUAUUCAAUGCAAACAAUAUUUCCUCUUUAUAAUAUUACUAAUGAAAUUUGUCUGUAGUCCAUUAAAAUAUGACUAUGAAAUGUUUGUAGUAGUGUUAAGGGUUUUAAUAUGAUAUUUGUGUUUACAUUUUGCAUAAAGGGUAAGUUCUCGCAUGAACUGUUAUUGUUACAUUAGUGCGCAUCUAACUCAUUCCAUUUAAUGAAAUAGUAUUCAAAACGUUUGUAAAAAUGAACAUUUUGGGAAUGCAAAAAAAAAACAAACAAAUUUGUCUUUCACCAACAGGUAUAAUAAGAAAAUAAAUGCACUUUACAUAA
Molecule: long non-coding RNA, 1657 nt
Organism: Pieris napi
Lineage: Eukaryota; Metazoa; Arthropoda; Insecta; Lepidoptera; Pieridae
Exons: 2
Source: RefSeq, a predicted model, not a curated record